Molecule: ribosomal RNA, 416 nt
Filed under: uncultured bacterium
Lineage: Bacteria
Description: bacterial SSU rRNA
Rfam family: Bacterial small subunit ribosomal RNA
Source: RNAcentral
GAUGAACGCUGGCGGCAUGCCUAAGACAUGCAAGUCGAACGAAGGGACCCAAUGAGAUUUAUAGAAGUUUGGAGAGCUUGCUCAAAGAAUGGAAAUAAAUCAAUUUGGAUCAUCCCUUAGUGGCAAACGGGUGAGUAACACGUGGGUUACCUGCCUUCAAGAUGGGGAUAACAGUUGGAAACGAUUGCUAAUACCGAAUGUGAUCUACGGAUUAAAGAAGCCUUUAAAGCUUCGCUUGAAGAUGGGCCUGCGGUGCAUUAGCUAGUUGGUGAGGUAACGGCCCACCAAGGCACGAUGCAUAGCCGAACUGAGAGGUUAAAUCGGCCACAAUGGAACUGAGAUACGGCCCAGACUCCUACGGGAGGCAGCAGUGGGAAUAUUGCACAAUGGGCGAAGCCUGAUGCAGCAACGCCGCG